UGCCAUUUUAUUGAUUACAGAGAAACAAAGAAUCUGACUCCAGAAUCUACAUGAAUUGAAUAACCAUUGAAUGAUUACACGAAAGAAUAAAAUAAUUUUUAAGCGUCUUGUUGAUUAUUUUCUCUAGGAGGUUCUGCAUUCUGCAGGAAGGCCCUGAGGAAAUCUCUUUGUAUCAGCGCAGUAAUUGUAAAUCAUGUAAUUCUUCUGCACCCAUUUCAGCCUACUUUGAUUUGUUGAAUCUAGCUCUUGUGAGAACCAAGCACCGUUGCUGGAUGUAGAGGAAGCAGAAUUUGAAGCGCAAGAAGAUUUUCCAUUAGACCAAACACAAGCUUCAGCAUUAAAGUUUCUGUAGGAAGCAGUGAAAGGAGCAUGUGUCCAAUCUGUCUUCACGAGGCCACCUCUUGUGGCCCAGUCAUCAGCAUUCCAGAGAGAAGAGUAUAUUCUCAUUGGCUGAUUCUUUGGGAACGGAACGCCAAUUGACUCUGAGUUCUUAAAUUCUCUUAUGGGCGUGCCAUCAACAGAGAAGCUGAAAAUUAAGUAAACAUUGAUAAGUCUAAGCAGAUUGAAUGACAAGGAAAAAAAACUAAUGAUGGAGAUUGAAGGAAAAUAUUACUUACACAAUGCGCUGAGGAUUCCAGAGGAUAGAAUAGGUGUGAAAGUCAGCAGCGGGGUCAAACCAGAGGUGAAAUUGUUGCUCUCUGUCACCUUUGCCAUUUGUAAAGACAUUGGUAUGAAGAGUGUAAGGGUCACCACUUAAAUUUCCCAAGAAUUCAAAGUCUAUCUCAUCCCAUGUUGAUCCCGGUGAUUUUAGCUGCAUUAAAAAAAAAAAAAAACAGAUAUUUAUAUGUAUCAUCACAUAUGAUUAUUCAACUACGACCCAGUUUGCAUGCAUAAUACUUGCGUAUGAUUAAGUUGUAUUAAAAGAAGGAACUUACGUAAUAAGCAGUGACAGUGCCAGCAGAGUUGCCUGGGACAAGCUUGAGCUGCAUGUCAAUCUUGCCGUAUAGAUACUCAUUCUUGGACUGGAAUCCUGAGCCAGAAGCUUUAUCGAGGGAAAGAGUAAGAAGGUCGCCAUUGUUGAGCAUCUUGGCACGGCCAUCUCCCCAGGUGAUGUCAAAAUCUUUGUAGAAGUUACCAGCAGAUGCAACCAUCAAAGAGCCAAGCACAAGAAACAAAUGCAACGUUGAAGCCAUUGACAUAUGCUUGAGCAAACGAGGUACAAGUAGUGUUUGAAUUAACUGAGAGAAGUUUGUAAUUCGAAAGUGGAGCGAUGAAUGUGUUUAAGACCAUUGUGUUGUAUUUAUAGCCGGUGAAGAUGGGAAAUGUAAAAUGCAGAGGAAAGUGAAGGGAAAGGUCCAGUGAGCUCGGCUGUGGACAGUUGUUGGCUUGAAAAAAGUAUAAUAAAAUAGCUGUGCAUAUCGCACUAACAAGCAUUAUCCGACCAGCCAUAUUUUAUUAUAGCACGCGGUUUUUGCAUUAUUUUUGGGACCAAACGACUUCCGUUUAGUUUAGUAUGUGCCGCUGUCGUGGUCCCACUACCAGCUGACUCUUAUUAGAUUUUCCCACCGCCACUACUAAAGACAGUUGAAUUCACAUGAUGCGACCCUCUCUUCAGAUUUUCAGCUUUUUUUAUUAAUUGAUUCUCAAGGCAAGAGCAAAUGAAUAAUAUUAUAAUAAUACUAAGAAUAACAUAGAACUUAUUAAGAAAUUCCAGAAUUGAAAAUUCUCCUCACUAGCAAUUCAGUGUUCACCCAAGUGACAAUUAUGUUAUAUUUAUUCUGUUUGAAUUCUUAAUUUAGUAACUCCAAAAUUAAUCUUUUAUUGUCAUGUAUAUAAUAUUUAUUUUAUUAUUAAUUAUUUGUUAUCAACCUAAUUAAUAAAUGAUACAUAAAAUGUAAUAUUAAGGAGGAGACAAACUAAAUAUCCGAAUUGGGUUGGCAAUAACCGCAUGACAUUACUCAAAUUUUAUGUUACUGGCGUUGUCUAACACGCGAGACGGUGGUGGGUUUCGCUUGCCAUUCACUUGGACCUAACUGUAUGUAAAAUGAAUGUUUGUUUUGAAAAGGGAACUAGGCGGCGCCUUGUCUUCCCUUUCUUUAUAAACAAUUAACAAAUCAAGCAAAACCGCGUCUGGAAAACUUGGUCUGCGCCAUUUUAAUGAACAGUCAUUUGCUACAUUACUUUGCCAACUAUUACCAAAACGUACUGAAGUUUCCCGUGUAUCUUCUCUCCGUUCAACUCUGCCUAAACUUAUAGGAUAAAAACACCAACUAAGCACAACCUUUUCAUCAUUUCAGAUUCUUUUACAUUUCUAAUACUAUUCACAUGCAAAACAUUCCAGUGGCUUGCUUUCUAGUUUCUUCAUAUAUUCCGUCCAUGUUGAUGGUCAGUUUUGUGAUUUUCUCUCUAAUUGUAGCUUCUUCUGCUAACUUCUACCAAGAUUUUGAUAAUACUCGGGGAGAUAGACUUUGAAUUCUUGGGCAAUUUAAGUGGUGACCCUUACACUCUGCACACCAAUGUAUUCACAAAUGGCAAAGGUGACAGAGAGCAACAAUUUCACCUCUGGUUUGACCUUACUGCCGAUUUUCAUACCUAUUCCAUCCUCUGGAAUCCUCAGCGCAUUGUGUAAGUACUGUUUUUUUCCCUGUCGUUAAUUUGCUUAGACUUAUAACUUUUUUCAUUGUAAUUUCCAGCUUCUCUGUUGAUGGCACCCCCAUAAGAGAAUUCAAGAACUCAGAAUCAAUUGGAGUGCCAUUUCUAAAGAAUCAACCAAUGAGGAUGUACUCUUCUCUACGGAAUGCUGAUGACUAGGCUACAAGAGGUGGCCUUAUCAAGACACAAUGGACACAUGCUCCUUUCGCCGCUUCUUAUAGAAACUUCAAUGCUGAUGCAUGUGUCUCGUCUAAUGGAAUAUCUUCUUGUGCUUCAAGUUCACCUUCCUCUCCAUAUAUCCAACGGCUGCUCCUGGUUCUCACAAGAGCUUGAUUCAACAAGUUAAGAAAGGCUGAAAUGGGUACAAAAGACAUACAUGAUUUACAACUACUGCACCGACGCAAAGAGAUUUCCUCAAGGCCUUCCUUUGAAAAGAAAAAAUCUCCUAAAGAAGUGAUUAAAUCAAACAGAUAAAUCAGUGUAAACUUAUUACAUUCAAUUAUAUGCUCUCUGUAGAGCUAUUCUUUGCAGUCUUGGUCAUCAAUAAAAAGACAGAUUUGUCAUUCUUUAUAUCAGAAGUGUUAUAAUACGAAUUUUAUUGGAAAGAUGCAGAUGUGAUUUAUUAUAAAUUCAAUAUACUUAAUGUAAAAAGACUUAAAAGAUUGAGCUUUACUCAUCUAAAGUUCUCACAGACCAUAUCAACGUGAUCCCUUUCUAGCAUAUUCGCAUCUUAAUUCAUAUGAUAACUGAUACAACAUCAAUACUAUUAUUAUAACUUUAUUUUGAUAUUACAACAUAAAGUUUGAGCAUGAAAUAAACUACAUUAUUUACUUUAACUGUAGAAAUCAAAAUUAGAAUAAAUUGUAUUAUCAUUGAUGUGUUUAGUUUGUCUUGAAAUCUUAGUCAUAAUAAAUUAGACUGUCAUAAAUUACUAAAAAGUUUUUAAUUAAUUAUUAUCAUAAUUAUUAUUUUAUAUUUUAAUUAAUGUAAUUAUUGUUAUUCAGAAAUUAUUAUUAUUAAUUAUUGUUAAUAAUAAUAAUAAUAUCAUUAACAUGAAUAUAUUAAUUAUAAUAUUUUUUUAUCAAUAAUAAUGAUAAUAAUACAUUUGAAAAUCAUAAUAACAAUAAUAAUAAUCAAAAUCAUCAUCAUCAACGACAACAACAAAUCAAAAUCGGAUUUGGAUCAUAAUAUCAUCGUCGUUGUCGACAUCAUCAUCGGUGAUGGUUGUUGUUGCUAGAUCGUUGUUGCUAUUGCUCCUGCUCAACGGUCAGCGACGACCAAUGACGUUGAUUUUUGCAGUAACAGUUUGGUGAAGACGAUGAAAAUCGGUGAGGCUUCAAUUUACAGCGACUGUUUGCUGUGGUUUUUUUUUCUAUUUAAAUUUUUUUAAUUGAAUGAAGGUGUUGAUGCUGAAAUCUGCUCGCCUCUUGACCGACCAGAUUCUUUCACCAACGUUUGUGUUAUCUACUGUUGCUCGUUCACUGGGAUUGGAAUCGUCCUCCUUUCUCUCAAUAGACCUGCACUCACUAAAAAUGGAUCAGAGACGCCGGUGGUUUUGCCGGCGUAAACCCUCCGAUGCCUAAGUUAGCACAAGGUGUUUACGGGAAAACAGUGUAAUUUGGAUUCCAGGAGCUUAUUAAAAAUUUGUAAGGAAAUGGCCUAGUUGCAAUUUGGCAGCGUUUUCCCUCUCUCUUUUUUUUUUUCCCCUUUCUUCACCGAUUUCUUCUUCUUUUAUAGCCGCUGUCCCCACGUUUCCGUUUGCCAUUCAUCCCACCUUUUUCGGGUAGUGGCAGCCCCUCAUGGGAUUUUAACUGCUACAUUGUGGGCAAACGUGGGAUCUCGCAUCUCCCACAACGGUUCUGGGAAAAGCGCAACUACCGCGAUUCUGUGGGAUCGUGUUUCCGCUUUUUGAGGGACGGGUACCGACUCGGUAUACGACUCUGGUCGGUAUUCGUCUCUGAUCAGCUCAUGUUACCCCCUGUUCUGCUCGUACCAUUUGGCUGAGGUGAUUCAUGCCGGGGUGGAAAUAGUAGCAUGGCCGACCUGGUGCUUUUAUUUGCUUAACACCAGUCCCCCAGUUUUUGGUCUUGUGAGUGAAAUGAGUCAAGAGUAGAAACUGAUAGUCAAAUCUUACCAAUCCAGGGGCUUCUCCUCUGAUCUUUCGUCUACCGGGAUGGACCUGAGGUAUCAUUUUUCUUCAGGGGAGAUUUUGACCUGAGCAUGGGCCUAAAUGAGUAUGUCCAUUGCGUAUCUGGGCUUGCAUCUAGCCUGGCCUCUUAUAACGAUUGGUGACGUGGCAUCUCCCGACUCUUCGUAUUUGAAAUUUGAAACGACGGGCUAUCUGUCCUUGAUGUACGGUGAGUGAGCUGGCGUCUCUAUCACUUAAAUGCUUUCAUUUCCCCUUUUUCGUUUCAAAUCCCUAGACUUAUAUCUGCAUCGCUUUGUUAUUCAUCUCUUCAUCGUUAACUAACUCCCUCUCUGAACUUUGCUUACACUUCUCGUGUCUGGAGUAUCCACUCGCUGAAUUUUUUCUCUAUCACGGUCGCGCUAUCAGUGCCAGUUCAAUCCAGGUAUUGCCUUUAACUUCUCCUCUGGUUAUUGUUGAUUGGGUUCUGUGUUGCCCUUUUUGUGUCCAUAUACUCGAGUUUUCUUUGUUUUCUUUUGAGGUUCUGAUAUGUCAAACCGAAAAAGAAAGUUAAUUGUUGAUGAGGAUGAUGAAGAAUCAGGGGAUUCAGGCCUCAACGUGUCAAUACCCACCUAUUUCUUAGGUCCCUCCAGUAAUGUAGGUCCUUCCCAUGGCAGGGAUACCCUUGAGUACCCACGCCCCUUGGUUGUCUCUUCCUUUCCCGAACUAGAGCUUGUAGGGAAUAGAGGUGGACUUGCGUCGGGAUCUGGUGAGAACCACAGCUUUGGUGGGGUUGGGAUCCGUGAAGGAGUUGGCGAUGGUGAGGGGAGCAGUUCCGGACCGAGCGGUCUUGCUAAGAAAAGGAAUAUUGGCCAUAGGGUGGAGGCUGAUUUCUACCCUAUUGAUUACAUAGCCUGUGCCACCACCCAAACUGACUUAUUCAAGCUUAGGAACCUCUACGACAUUCCUGAGGAGGUUCUUCUUGUAGUUCCUGGGAAGGGUGACGUUCCUAGUCGGCCUCCACGGGGGUAUGUGACAAUGCACCUAGAGAGUUUCAAACUAGGAGCUCGGCUGCCCCUUCAGCGUUAUUUUUCCAAAAUAUUGGGGGGUAUGCACCUGGCCCCAGAUCAGCUACACCCGAACGGGUGGAGGGUUCUCUCGGCAAUGUUUGUGUUGUGGUAGAGGUGCGGGUCGGAGGAGCCUUCCCUUGUUGAAGUGAAACAUCUGUAUCAGCUGCGGAGCAGCCCAAGGGAGGCGGGCUGGUAUUACUUCAUGUCCAGUUCCGCAAAGAGAAAGCCAAUCACUGGUUUCCCCUCCUCGUGCAAAAAUUGGAAGAACAAAUUCUUCUUUGCUGGGGGAAAGUGGUGUUCAGCACUCCGUUCGUUGGGUGGUGAUAUUUACCUUCCAACGCAGUUUGUCACCCCAGGUCGUUCAUUUUUUGCCUAUAUUCCUUCUCAAACUGUCACUUAUCGAGUUCUUUAACCUCUUUUGCUAUUUCAGAGUCGUGGGGUUUGAUCGGGGGGCUUAAAGAUUGACCUUUGCUUCAGGUGGAAACUGCUCUGUUGAACGCGUCUACCUGCCAAGACCUCCUGUCGCCAACAAACCUGGUCGGUUCGGGCCUAGUAGACAUAGCCGCUGGAAUGGAUAACAAAAUCCUUAGCGCGAUGAGCAGGAAGCGUGGUCGGGCUCCGAGUAGCUCCAACAACCUUCCCCCUCCUCCAAAGAAACCCAGCGUCUGUCUUUCCAAGGCGCCUGUUCCUGCUCUGCCCCCUCCUCCACCUCGUAAGAGUGGUGGGGAGAAAACCUACGACAAGAGUCCUGAGGUCAGCUUGCAAUCUGAGGACCGAUCUUCUCCUCUUCUAUCUCGGGAUCAAGGUGACUACCUGAGCCCAUAUCAGAAGGAUUAUAAAAAAUCGGUUGGGCCCAAGAUGGUGAAGGACAUCGAGAGCAUGAGUCUCUCCGAGUUAGCUGCUUUUAUUCAAAGAGUCUCCUUCAGGUUGUCCACAAUGGUCUCGUGCUACAAGACCGGGUCCGCGCGUCAUGAGAAGAAGCUUCAAGCUGACAAUCAGGAGUUGAAAAAGAAAGCUGAAUCUGCUGACCGCUCCAAGGAGAAACUAGCCGAGCUGAACAAGCAGAUUACAGAGCUGGAGGAGAAAGUUGCAGUUGCUGAGUCUACUGCCUCCAGGUUUGAGGGUGAGUUGGAUGGCCUGAAGUCGGACCUUCAGGUAACUCAAAGUGAAAGAGAUACUUUGAGGACCGCCCUUGAGGGAGAAAUCAAAUCCCUGAAUGAGCAGCUGGCUGAGGAGAAAGGCAAAUCCGCUGAUGUGGACGAUCGGUUGGAUGCCGAGUAUGACUCGGGGGUUGCUUUCUCCUAUAAGUGUAUCAUGUCUGUGCUUCAGGGAGAAUAUCCCGAGCUGGACAUGAGCAAGUUGGAGGCUGGAGUGCAGCGGUAUAUGGCAGAGGUCGGCCAGGCGGACAAUGAGCAGGGUGAGCAGGAUCAGGUGGAGGCUCCUUUGGAUGAGGUGCAAGAGGGGGAAGCUGGGGGACGUCCUUUCGAAGUGGGUCAAGGGUCCAUGCCUCCUCCUCCCGGCAUUGCUGAUCUCCCACCUCCUGAACUGCUGUACGGCCAAGGCGGAUGUACGGUACAGCAGUUUGUAAACAAUUGAACAUUUAUAAAUUUUUAGAUGCUCUUUAUUUGCUUUCUUGUUCGGUUUUUGCUAAUAGAUUGUUUCUGAAAAACAAUUGGAUAACUUAUCUGAUUUUGCCUGCUGGUUCCUUAGCGAACUGAGCAGGAGUAGACAUUUACUUGCCUUAGUAAAAUUUCCAUAAAACUGGUUGCUUGUCUUCAUUGACCGAGCCGAACUAGGCACUUACUUGCCUUAAUAGGAUUUUUUGUAGAAUUAGCUGCUGGUCUUUCGUUGACCGAGCAGAAGUAGGCAUUUACUUGCCUUAGUAGGAUCUUCGUAGAUUUAGCUGCUGGUCUUUCGUUGACCGAGCAGAAGUAGGCAUUUACUUGCCUUAGUAGGAUCUUCGUAGAUUUAGCUGCUGGUCUUUCGUUGACCGAGCAGAAGUAGGCACUUACUUGCCUUAGUAGAAUCUUCGUAAAUUUAGCUGCUGGUCUUUGGUUAACCGAGCAGAAGUAGGCGCUUACUUGCCUUAGUAGAAUCUUCGUAGAUUUAGCUGCUGGUCUUUCGUUGACCGAGCAGAAGUAGGCACUUACUUGCCUUAGUAGAAUCUUGGUAAAUUUAACUACUGGUCUUUCGUUGACCGAGCAGAAGUAGGCACUUACUUGUCUUAGUAAGAUUUUUUGCUUCAAGCUGACAAUCAGGAGUUGAAAAAGAAAGCUGAAUCUGCUGACCGCUCCAAGGAGAAACUAGCCGAGCUGAACAAGCAGAUUACAGAGCUGGAGGAGAAAGUUGCAGUUGCUGAGUCCACUGCCUCCAAGUUUGAGGGUGAGUUGGGUGGCCUGAAGUCGGACCUUCAGGUAACUCAAAGUGAAAGAGAUACUUUGAGGACCGCCCUUGUGGGAGAAAUCAAAUCCCUGAAUGAGCAGCUGGCUGAGGAGAAAGGCAAAUCCGCUGAUGUGGACGAUCGGUUGGAUGCCGAGUAUGACUCGGGGGUCUCCUGGUCCCGUGGCUCGUAUUACUCUAUACGGGCCUUUCCAUUUUGGGCCAAGAGCACCAUGGUUGGGAUCCCUAGUAUUUUGAUUCACCUUCCUAAGUACCCAAUCUCCUGCUCGGAACUGCCUCACGCGUACAUUCUUGUUGUAAUAACGCGUGACCCUUUGCUGACACUGGGCCACUUUCUGUGAGGCCCCUUCCAUUUUCUCCUCAAGUAGGUCCAGGCUUAAGCAGAUCUGCUCGUCAUUUUCUUCCUCAGCGAAAUAUUCCGUUCGAUGUGUCCCCACUCCAAUCUCUGCUGGGACUACUGCCUCAUGACCAAAAGAUAAAGCGAACGGGGUUUCCCCUGUAGCAGUUUUGUGAGUUGUCCGGUAAGCCCACAAUACCCCUGGUAGCUCGUCAACCCAAGCUCAUUUUUUGAUUGCCAACUUGUGGCAAGCUACCCCGCGAUCAAUUCCGGGCAUAUCUUCAUGAGACCAGGCGAAUAUAUCCGCAUGAGACUGUAGGCAAUUUAUCAGUUCGCCUUUUAUUGCCCCAACCAAUCCUGACCCGAUCUUCACUACUCUGCUCGGGUUGCUUUUGCUUACCGCAACUUCCUCCAGUUUCUCAACAGGCUCUUGGCGGCCCUUUUUAGAGUCUCCUCGAUUAUCUAGAGAGGUAACCUGCAGUGUCUCCUUGGCCGCUGUAGCAUAACAACUCCUUGCCAUCCUCUGGUCACCUUUUACUACGCCAACCACCCCAUUUACUCUGUAUUUCAGUGCCAAGUAAUGCGUGGAUACAACGCAUUGGCUUAUCCUCAUGAAUGGUCUCCCCAGUAUCAUCUGGUAAGGGCUUCUUUCCUCUACCACGACAAAAUCCAGCAUCAUUGUUCUUUCAAAUGGUUUUGUCCCUAUAGUAAUUGGGAGUUCGAUGAUCCCCAUGAGAGUUAACCGUCCCCCUCCAAAUCCCUUUAAGGAUGUAUUUGUCCGCUCAAAUUUCAAGUCUGCGAUCCCCAUAUCAUCUAGAGCCAACUUAAACAGGAUGUCAACCGAGCUGCCUGUGUCUACUAGUAUUCGUCGCAAUUCUGUACCGACCACCAUUGCCUUGAUCACCAAUGCAUCCUCAUGCGGAUAUAAGAUACCCUCUUCAUCGUCAUCUGUCCACAUAAUGGGAACUUGCCGCACUUUUGCCUUCUUGGUUGCCGGCAAAUUGAAAAGCACUUCUUUGCUAGUCAGGGCAUAUCUCCCAUAGUUCUUCCGUGCCCUGUUCGAAUCCCCGGCCAAUGUUGGCCCUCCUGCUAUUACACGGAUGGUCGGCUGUUCACAUUCCAAAUCCCUCUCAACCCCUUCAUCCCGUGUAUAUUGUGAUUCCAUGACAAGGGACAUUCCAUCUACAUACUCGUCUGUUGUAAUAACGCGUGACCCUUUGCUGACACUGGGCCACUUUCUGUGAGGCCCCUUCCAUUUUCUCCUCAAGUAGGUCCAGGCUUAAGCAGAUCUGCUCGUCAUUUUCUAUCAGCUGAACUGCUCGGUUAUCAUGAAUGUCACCUCGGGCUGACACAGUCGCUAACUGAUCUGGUCGACUAGCCAUGGAAUUAGUUGCAUGUGAUGCUCUGGGAGUGUUGUGAUAGGGGUGGGCAGCCAUCUGCCGGAAUUCUCUUUGCCGAUCCGGGAAUGGGGGACGCGGAGGUUGAGCCCGGUUGUGCUGGAACUGCUGUGAUCUCAGAGCCAUGGGGUAAGGGCGGGACCGAGCCGAUAUUCCGCCCAUCACUGAAGAUUCUCCAGCUCGUUUUCCCGACCCGCUCCCUGUCGGGACUCUCCGUUCCUUUCGCCUCAGCUCGUCCAGCUGUUCACUUUUUAUUCUUGCCGAUUUCUCCUCUUCGAUUUCUAUAUCUCGCCUCGCCUGCUCAUACCCCGACGAGUAAUUCUGUACAAGGGGGCUUCUUAAGUUAUACCAUAGUCGGCCGAUUCUUACACCUUCUUUUAAUCCCCUCAACGCCUGCGGGUGAUUAAAAGCUCCCAGAUCCAGCACGGCUCGGUGAUAUCUUUUUACAACCAUUUUGGGCCAAGAGCACCAUGGUUGGGAUCCCUAGUAUUUUGAUUCACCUUCCUAAGUACCCAAUCUCCUGCUCGGAACUGCCUCACGCGUACAUUCUUGUUGUAAUAACGCGUGACCCUUUGCUGACACUGGGCCACUUUCUGUGAGGCCCCUUCCAUUUUCUCCUCAAGUAGGUCCAGGCUUAAGCAGAUCUGCUCGUCAUUUUCUUCCUCAGCGAAAUAUUCCGUUCGAUGUGUCCCCACUCCAAUCUCUGCUGGGACUACUGCCUCAUGACCAAAAGAUAAAGCGAACGGGGUUUCCCCUGUAGCAGUUUUGUGAGUUGUCCGGUAAGCCCACAAUACCCCUGGUAGCUCGUCAACCCAAGCUCAUUGCAGAAUCUGCUCUUAUCCCGUCGGUGAGUCGGUUUUGUUAUUGGGGCUGGAGGGUACAGCAAGCUUCGUCCCUCGAUCCUCUCAUACAAUUCCUCCAUGGAGAUCUUUAACGGAGUGUACUGUCUAUACGCCAAGCUCUGGUCUAUCAGCUGAACUGCUCGGUUAUCAUGAAUGUCACCUCGGGCUGACACAGUCGCUAACUGAUCUGGUCGACUAGCCAUGGAAUUAGUUGCAUGUGAUGCUCUGGGAGUGUUGUGAUAGGGGUGGGCAGCCAUCUGCCGGAAUUCUCUUUGCCGAUCCGGGAAUGGGGGACGCGGAGGUUGAGCCCGGUUGUGCUGGAACUGCUGUGAUCUCAGAGCCAUGGGGUAAGGGCGGGACCGAGCCGAUAUUCCGCCCAUCACUGAAGAUUCUCCAGCUCGUUUUCCCGACCCGCUCCCUGUCGGGACUCUCCGUUCCUUUCGCCUCAGCUCGUCCAGCUGUUCACUUUUUAUUCUUGCCGAUUUCUCCUCUUCGAUUUCUAUAUCUCGCCUCGCCUGCUCAUACCCCGACGAGUAAUUCUGUACAAGGGGGCUUCUUAAGUUAUACCACAGUCGGCCGAUUCUUACACCUUCUUUUAAUCCCCUCAACGCCUGCGGGUGAUUAAAAGCUCCCAGAUCCAGCACGGCUCGGUGAUAUCUUUUUACAAAAUCUCGAAGGGAUUCAUGCUCCUCCUGUUUCAUCCCCAUCAGUUCCAUCAUAUCGUCCUCUGGGGCCAUUGCCCCUCGGAACUGCUCGGCCAACUCCUGGCACAUCUGCUCAUACCCUUUUAUACUUCCUCGGGGCAGCUUGCGGUACCAUUCUCGGGCUCGUCCCUCUAAUGUCAACGGGAACACCCUGCACCUCUGAGCUGAUGUCAGCCCCUGCACACCCGUCAUGUCGUUGAAACGCUCAAUGUGCACCAGCGGGACAUUUCGCCCGGAGUAUUUGAGGUCGGGGAAGCGGAAAUCUCUUGGGAUUAUGGUACUCAUGAUCUCAGUUGAUAACAGAGAUUCUUCAUCUAGCAUUAUCCUCCAGGUCGAGGCUUUCUCUUGCCCUGUAUCUCCUCUAUCACCUACGCCAAUCUGCGCACCUCCCCCUCCAAUUCUAAGGCACGGUCAGGAUCACGUGCAGCUAUAUGGUCUCGUUCCAGCUCGGCAUUGUGUAACCGCUAUCUGAGCUCUCCUUCGUCAACACUGGCACCUCGGCCAUUGACUUCCAGGACCUGUCCGGGGCGAGGUUGGUCCCUCCCUUCAUCCACGCGUUCUCCCGGGACCCGACCAGUACUUCUGUGGGGAUGCACCCCAUUAGGUUGGUCUGCGGGCGGAGGGAUUUCCUCGACUCUACGCCUCCGAAGGCUGGGUUCUACUCCAACUUCAUCUCUUCCCACGGGGGUUUCACAAUCCCUUCUCCGCUCAUCCCUCAGCUCGAACAAUAUGGUUGCGAGAGUCUCCAUUUGUUUCUCCAUCCGCUCCAGUCUAUCUUGCAUCAUCUUCUCUCGGGCUUCAUUUGCAAUUUCCCGGAGAGUGACUGUCUCCCCAGCUUCGUUAUCCUCCCUCAAAGCGUCCUUCCUUGUCACAUCCAUGCCUAACCGUUCGCUGUUUUUCCAGUAACUACUAAUUCGGUGGUAGCUUUUUAUCCAGNNNNNNNNNNNNNNNNNNNNNNNNNNNNNNNNNNNNNNNNNNNNNNNNNNNNNNNNNNNNNNNNNNNNNNNNNNNNNNNNNNNNNNNNNNNNNNNNNNNNNNNNNNNNNNNNNNNNNNNNNNNNNNNNNNNNNNNNNNNNNNNNNNNNNNNNNNNNNNNNNNNNNNNNNNNNNNNNNNNNNNNNNNNNNNNNNNNNNNNNNNNNNNNNNNNNNNNNNNNNNNNNNNNNNNNNNNNNNNNNNNNNNNNNNNNNNNNNNNNNNNNNNNNNNNNNNNNNNNNNNNNNNNNNNNNNNNNNNNNNNNNNNNNNNNNNNNNNNNNNNNNNNNNNNNNNNNNNNNNNNNNNNNNNNNNNNNNNNNNNNNNNNNNNNNNNNNNNNNNNNNNNNNNNNNNNNNNNNNNNNNNNNNNNNNNNNNNNNNNNNNNNNNNNNNNNNNNNNNNNNNNNNNNNNNNNNNNNNNNNNNNNNNNNNNNNNNNNNNNNNNNNNNNNNNNNNNNNNNNNNNNNNNNNNNNNNNNNNNNNNNNNNNNNNNNNNNNNNNNNNNNNNNNNNNNNNNNNNNNNNNNGUUGAUAACGGAGAUUCUUCAUCUAGCAUUAUCCUCCAGCUCGGGGGCUUUCUCUUGCCCUGUAUCUUCUCUAUCACCUGUGCCAAUCUGCGCACCUCCUCCUCCAAUUCUACGGCACGAUCAGGAUCACGUGCAGCUAUAUGGUCUCGUUCCAGCUUGGCAUUGUGUAACCGCUGUCUGAGCUCUCCUUCGUCAACACUGGCACCUCGGCCAUUGACUUCCAGGACCUGUCCGGGGCGAGGUUGGUCCCUCCCUUCAUCCACGCGUUCUCCCGGGACCCGACCAGUACUUCUGUGGGGAUGCACCCCAUUAGGUUGGUCUGCGGGCGGAGGGAUUUCCUCUACUCUACGCCUCCGGAGGCUGGGUUCUGCUCCAACUUCAUCUCUUCCCACGGGGGUUUCACAAUCCCUUCUCCGCUCAUCCCUCAGCUCGAACAAUAUGGUUGCGAGAGUCUCCAUUUGUUUCUCCAUCCGCUCCAGUCUAUCUUGCAUCAUCUUCUCUCGGGCUUCAUUUGCAAUUUCCCGGAGAGUGACUGUCUCCCCAGCUUCGUUAUCCUCCCUCAAAGCGUCCUUCCUUGUCACAUCCAUGCCUAACUGUUCGCUGUUUUUCCGGUAACUACUAAUUCGGUGGUAGCUUUUUAUCCAGCUCCCCACAGACGGCGCCAAAAUGUUGAUGCUGAAAUCUGCUCGCCUCUUGACCGACCAGAUUCUUUCACCAACGUUUGUGUUAUCUACUGUUGCUUGUUCACUAGGAUUGGAAUCGUCCUUCUUUCUCUCAAUAGACCUGCACUCACUAAAAAUGGAUCAGAGACGCCGGUGGUUUUACCGGCGUAAACCCUCCGAUGCCUAAGUUAGCACAAGGUGUUUACAGGAAAACAGUGUAAUUUGGAUUCCAGGAGCUUAUUAAAAAUUUGUAAGGAAAUGGCCUAGUUGCAAUUUGGCAGCGUUUUCCCUCUCUCUCUUUUUUUCCCCUUUCUUCACCGAUUUCUUCUUCUUUUAUAGCCGUUGUCCCCACGUUUCCGUUUGCCAUUCAUCUCACCUUUUUCGGGUAGUGGCAGCCCCUUAUGGGAUUUUAACUGCUACAUUGUGGGCAAACGUGGGAUCUCGCAUCUCCCACAACGGUUCUGGGAAAAGCGCAACUACCGCGAUUCUGUGGGAUCGUAUUUCCGCUUUUUGGGGGACGGGUACCGGCUCGGUAUACAACUCUGGUCGGUAUUCGUCUCUGAUCAGCUCAUGUUACCCCCUGUUCUGCUCGUACCAUUUGGCUGAGGUGAUUCAUGCCGGGGUGGAAAUAGUAGCAUGGCCGACCUGGUGCUUUUAUUUGCUUAACAGAAGGUAUUUUCAGAAUGUUAAAAUUUCAAUGGGAACAGAUUUUUUAUUCCCAAAAAUCGAUCGUUGAGAAUUAGUCUCGCAUUUUCAUGCUUAUUUUAGUCUUUCAUUUUGAUGCUUAUUUUGUAAAGUAAAUGCUAUUAAUAAUUUCGAUUCUCCAAUCAAGAAAGUAAACAUAAGUAAACAUCGCAGUAAUGUAUAACUAUAGCAAAUUUAUGAUAUAAAGUAUUGUCAUUAUAUAUAUGUUUAUACUCGCGCGGAAUCUACGUAAGCACUCGUGGCCACAGCACACUCAAGAGGAAGCCCUUUUGGGAAGCGCUUUGUGUCUGUACAAUAAUUAUAAAUCAUGUAAUUCUUCUGCACCCACUUGAGUUUCUCUCGGCUUGUUUCAUCAAGCUCAUCGAUCUUCAUCCAUGCAGAGGAUGAAGAAUUCGAAGGGCAAGGCGCAGAAAUGAUUGGACCUGCUGGGUAACGAAUGCAAGUUUUGGCAUUAAAGUUUCUACAAGAAGCUGUAAAUGGAGCUUUUGUCCAAUCUGUUUUGACAAGACCGCCUCUUGUUGCCCAGUCAUCAGCGUUCCAGAGACUCGAGUGUAUUCUCAUUGGUUGGUUUUUUGGGUAAGGAAUGUUGAUUGACUCCAAGUUCUUGAACUCUCUAAUCGGUGUGCCAUCGACAUAGAAUCUGAAAACGUUUUUAAACAAAAAUGUUAGAGAGCCUUUUUAACCCAAAAGAGCCCAAAGAAUAUAUGAAGUAUUAAACCAAAAAAAAGAGACACGUCUAAUAAAAAAAAGAAGAGGAUUAAUUAGUGACUUGAAUUGUUGCUUGUUUUCAACAAGAGAUGAUUAGUGGAUUGAAAUUCUUACACGAUGGUUUUGGGAUUCCAGAGAAUGGAAUAUGUGUGAAAAUCUGAAGUGGGAUCAAACCAGGGAUAAAAUUGCUGCUCUCUGUCACCUUUGCCUUGUGUGAUUACAUUUGUGUGAAAAAUAUAAGGAUCGCCACUGAGAUUUCCCAAGAACUCAAAGUCUAUCUCAUCCCAUGUUGAUCCUUGUGAUGACAACUAUAACACAGAAUUAAAAAUAAGCUUACUCUUAAAGAGAAAAACAUUUUCGUGCAAGAUCACUGGCAGCUUACGCCUUACAUAGUAAGAUGUGACAGUGCCAGCAGAGUUGCCUGGGACAAGCUUGAAUUGCAUGUCAAUUUUGCCAAAUAGAUACUCAUUCUUGGACUGGAAACCUGAGCCUGUGUCUUUGCCAAGGUAAAGAUUGAGGACUUCUCCAUCGUUGCGAAUCCUGACCUUGUCAAUUCCCCAUAUGAUGUCAAAAUCUUGAUAAAAAUUACUAGCUGGUAAAACUAACACAAAAGAGUUAGAUAAUAAAGCAGACAGCAUUAUCAGCACUACUAGUGAUUUAGCCGCAGCCAUUGUGCGAUAUUUAAAAUUUUGUUAUAGUUUUGGAUUUUUAUAGAGACGAAAAGAAAGAAGCGAUUUGCCAUUUGGAAAAAGAAAAAUGAAAAUUUUAAGAGAUAAGAUAGAUGAUGGGGAAGAGUUAGAGUCAAGGAUUAGGCUAGCACUUGUGGGGCAAAGAGCAAGAGCGGGAAACAGAUGGCAAAGACUGAAAUUAGUGAAAAGAAACUGCGAAAAUGCGGAUUUAUGCAUGUCACACAAGUGACAGCCCUAAGCAUGGUUUAUUAACACGUUGAAAUUUUGGCUGAUGGGUGCUUUUUGACCACUCUAUAUAGUUUCCGCAUCUACUGACCGGCUGGGCUCAGCCCUAUGUGAUUAGGAUGACUUUGGAGCAGUUUCCGUACUUAGAAUAGUCCCAAAAUAUGCUUAAGAAAAUGAGCAGGGUGUUCAAAAUCUAAUUCAAUUGGCUUAAUCCCAAAAUUAAUAGUCCCAAAAUUUGACUUUUAUAAUCGCCGAGAGUAAAAAUGAUUAUCUUAAGAUUUCAACAAGUCUUAAUAUAUUUUUCUUCACUUUUCUUUCUAGUAAUCAUGACAAUACAAAAAUUGUAACUAAAAAAGAAGAAUUAUGUACUUGGUCAUGAUUCAUGAGGAGACAUAAUGAAUCUUAUAAAAUGAAACCUUUGACUUCAAUUGGAUCUUGAGUCGCACAACCACUCUAGCUUUAUACAUAUUGUGUCUAGAUAUAAUAAAGUUCAAUGGUGCUCGUCGUUAAUUACUGUUAAAUGAUAAUAAAGUUUUAGCAAGAUGAUAUGAAUAUAAAGAGCAAAACAAUUUCGGAAUAUUUUGAGCUGUCAUAUUUACAUAAUUAACUUAACAGCUAAUAUGUUUAUCAAACAUUUACACAGUAAUAAUUAAUAUUAAUAACUUUUGUAACAACUCAAUCCCAAACUUGCCUCUUUUUAAUGUUUUGAAAUUAAACUUUACCUUUAAAUGUGUUGACAGAUAUUGACUCCUCCAAAUUAGCUCCAUCAACUGAAAUUCACCGCCACGUUUCCCCGACAUCUUAGGCGCCAGCAUCAUUUACACGUGGCAAAAAGAUAACUUUACACUUAUUUGAUAAACACAAAAGUAAAACUUCAAUUAAUCAAAUUAGAAAUAAUAGCUACCUGAUGUCCCAAAAUAUUUGUAUGAAGUCACAUAAAUCUUAUCACAACGAACAAAGUAGCUAGCUAUCACUUCUAUUUGGUCCAUUUUUCAUCUGCAUCAUUUUCCUACGUCCUGCAUGAAGGACCAAAAACAGAAGGAGCAGCUGGGGGAUGAAGGGAAAAACCCUAAUGGUCAAAACCCUUGUGGAGAAAACCCUAAUGGAGAAAGCCCUAAAAAGCAAAAUGAUGAUGCUUCACUUGUACGGCAUCCUGUGAAGAGUACUGGUCAUCAUCUGAUCGCUGAUGAUUCUUAUUUUGAUUCAUUCCCGCCUGGUUACCGAUUCAAACCCCACGAUGGAGAACUUGUGGUUUAUUACUUGCGGAGGAAGAUACUGAAUCAGCCAUUGCCUCCAAACCAGAUCAAGGUGGUGGAGUUGUAUAGGUUUAAUCCUAACACACUUACAGGUUAGGGGAAAAAAAAGUCACUUUUAAUUUCUUAUUUUCUCAAUUUCUGUGUUGUAUGUUGUUUUAUUGGCACGCAUCAUAUAUGAUUAAUUUUUUUUAUAAAAAAAUCUGUUUAUUCCUUAUUUCUCGAGAUUAUUAUUUAUUAGAAUGGAAAUUUUCUGAGUCUCGUUAGUGGCUUCUCUACUCUUUAUUAUUCAAAUUUUGUAGUCUUCGCUUGGGAUAUUUGUGGCUUCUCUACUCUUUUUCACGAUAGAUGUUUAUGCCAUUACAUAUAUAAUAUUACAGUGUAUAUUUUAAUGUGAUGCGAUUUUACAUCAGGUAUGAUUUUAGAUUUAGAUGGUGUUGUAAAUCAGCAUAUAAAAUUUAAUCCCCUCAUAUUGAAAACGUUUAUAAUAUGUUAUUUCUUUCGUAUUAGUUUGUCUACAUUUUUUUUGUUUCAUGAUAUCUUUAUGAAAUUUCUUUUAUUCUGUCCACUGAUGCAAUGAUUUACAGAAAGGUACAAGUCACUUGGUGAAAUGGAAUGUUAUUUCCUUACACCAAGAGAUAGAAAAUAUCGAAAUGGUCUAAGACCCAAUCGAGCUGCUGCAGAUGGGUACUGGAAGGCCACAGGAGCUGAUAAACCUGUUAAGCACAAUGGCAGUUUGGUUGGAUUCAAGAAGGCAUUGGUCUUCUACAAGGGAAAAGCUCCAAAGGGUGAUAAGACUAACUGGAUCAUGCAUGAAUACAUAGUGAAUAAUCCACCACAGAAACAAAAAGGCCGAAAUGAUAUGAGGGUAAAUGAUUUUCCUUGUUGUCCAAAUUCAUUUUUAUUUGAUUCUUUUUUUUGGUUUUAUUCGACUAAUUUCUGCUUCAUACAAGUCCCUUGCAGUUAGAUGACUGGGUUCUCUGUAGGAUCUAUAAGAAAACAAAGCAGUCAGCCAAAGCUUCUACUCGAAAACGAGAGGAUUCAGAGGAGGAUCAACAAUCAAGAAGCGAAGUUGCAACUCAAUCUCAAGAUAGUGGACAAACUUCAGUUGAUGAAAAGGCUAAAAUGCUGCCCAAAACAGAAAAUUUCAAGCCUGAAGGCCUUGGAAUCUUUGAUGUGCCUGAUUACUACAACCAGGGAAGAUUCUUCAGCGCAUAUGAUAAUGUCCUUUUAUCUUGUCAGAGUCCAUAUGCUAAUUUUCAGGAUGGUCAUCAGGGUAAUUCUCAGAAUUGGCUUCCUUUAAUCCCUCAGUCGGGGUUUCAGCAAAUGCUCCAUCAUAAUCCUACGUGGGAGAGCCCUAUGAAGCCUGAACAGUUCGGAUAUCCGCCCGAUGAUGUGUUUAGUGAUCUCCCUUCGGAAGACAAUUGUUUUGAUCCUCUACCUCAUAAUUUUACGAACUUAUAACUCUUUUCAUUUUGUGAUUCGAUUAGUUAAUGGUAGCUGACAUUAAUUGGCAUUUAUAAUAAGUUAGUUAGAGUGUACUUUAGUAGAGGUCGGUUUUCUUGAACUCAAUUUUUCUUGCAAUUCUGUGUACUUUGAUUGUUAUUUAUAUGAAUGUCAGCAGCAUGGAUAUUCAAGGAGAGUUGCUAUUUCUAUGGGUGGUAUGCUAAGGCUCCAUUUGCUUUAGCUUUUUGGUACUAAUUCUGUUACCAUUAUCAAAAUAUUUAAAAUAUUUGUAACUCAACUUUGACAGUACAACUGAUUAUUUCUCACAGUUUUCAGUUGUAACGCUCUUUGAACAAGAUUUUCUAAUCACUAAAAUUAUAUACAUAGUUUCCUAGAAUACCAAAUUAUUUACGUGACGAUCAUAUUCUUUGUUUGCCUCAAAGCUUGAGUUGUUUCUUUUAUCUCUCUUAAUUCCAAUUCAAGAGCUGUUUUCAGAAUUUUUUUUCCUUAAAUCCCAAUAGAAAAAAUGUAACGGAACAAUUUGUUAUGAAUGUAAUAAGCCAUAUAUAUCACAAAAAGGAGCAUAAACUGCACGGCUACUAUAUAUUGUUGAAGCUCUAUGAUUUUUAAAUUCUUUAUGAACGAUGUACCUCCGAUGUACUUUUAUUUUUUCUUCUUUUUGUCAUUUUGAGAUAAAUUUUUCUCCUCGAUCUCUUUAGAUGUUCAUAACUAAAUAUUCUUUAAGAUAGAGCGCAAUGUUUUAUCCCUACCACCACAACCCUAUCAUAAAGGAGACUAAAAAUUUGAGUUGGAGAAACAAGAAACUCAAUUCAAUCUAUAGAAAUUAUGAAGCCGUGUGAUAUGAUGAACUAACGGAGCUGCAGAAUGGCCUUUGAAAGUAAUGUUAAAAGCUUAAAACCUUUUUGAGUUUCCUUUAGCAAAUGUCAUAUGCAUUUUCUCUGAUCAAUGCACGAGAAAAUAUAACUUAGAGAUUGUUUAUCAAACGUUAGAAGUUUGUUAUUUGUUUUUGUGAUUUAUGUCUGAUUUUUAGAUAUUUACAUUUGAAUGGAAAAAAUAAAUUUUUAUAUCUUUUAUUUGAAUGGAAAAGGUUUGCAUGAAAAAUAAAUAUUAUAUUCCAAAAAUAUCUGUAUAAAAUAGUUUAUUUCCUCAACUAUAAGAUCUAAUCCUUUUUUGUUUUAAUUUAUGAGGAUAUAAUUAUCAAAGAAUCAAGUUUAAAACCUUUUUUUUUUGUUAUAAAAACAAAUAAGAUGUCAUUUAUACUCAUAUAUUAAAAAAAAAAAAGAAAUCUAAACGUUUCAUUCAAUUUUUUUUUAUUUAAAUCCAUUCAAACUUCUGAAAAAUUCAGAUUCAUUCUAAUUUCAGACUUUAAAAAAAAAUGUUAUCUUACUACAAACUAAAUUCCAAACUUAAUAAAUUAAUAUCAGAUCCCAGCCACAAUUCGCAUAUGAAAUGUUUGAGAACGAAGUUGUGAGAAAAUGCAGUCAGAAUCGACUGCCAUCAAUUAACAAGUUCCUUGGGAGGAAACAUGUUCAAUUUCUUUUUCUUUUUCUUUUUUUCCAAAAUUUUAAUGUGGAAAAUUAAUUCGGAUGCCGGGGUUAGUCCAACCACAGCACUCAUACUGGGCCGUGCGAGUUAAUUUUUGGGCCAAGUUCUUAACAUAUUUACUCAAUAUUUUGGAUGACAAAAUUGCCCAUAAACGCCCUGCAAGGACAUAACUGCAGAAAACAGGCUGGAGUAAAGUAUGCGACUAUGCGGUAACAAAACUUUCGGGACGCCUGCGUUAAUGACUUUUUGUUACUGCCACAAAGCAGUCACAAAAAGGUCAUUUGUGACUGCGGAGUGAUCACAUAAAACUCCUCCUCCUUGUAGUGCCACCUGCAAAAUAAUCCAUACUAGACCUCCUAAUUCUUCAUUUUCAUCCCUAUUAUUAAGUUAACUCGAUUGAAAUAUAUAUUUAUGAAAUUACAUGCACCAACUAUUUAUCGAGAAUUACAUUAAAUUAUGUAUAUAGCUAAUGUAAGAUCAAUUUGGAGAACUAAAAAUAUGUUAAUAAAAAUAGAAAACCGGGUUAUAUCGUUUGUCCCUCUUGUUCAUGUAUCGAUUUUUUUUUUUUAAAUUCCGCGGAACUACUGCAGCUACAGUGCUGGAAAGGAGCAAAUAUGUCGGAUUAUGCUAAGGAUUGCAUUAAAUGAACAAGAAGCUAUCCUAUAUUCUCUCAUUUUGCUAAAAGAUAAGGCAGUGAAAUAACUUCUAUUCUACUUCUACUUUGAAGAAUUUUACUGCUUCUCAAUCAACUACAUCAGCAGAAACUAUCAUAUUUCGCCACAUCAGCUUCAAUGACAGCUACUAAAGCACACAUUCUGGAAUCAUUGAACUCAAUCAUAACCAUCAAAUCAUUGACCACCGAUAGAUUGGCAUCUUAACUGAAUCCAAAGGAUAAAUCGCCUUCCGAAAACCGUUUGAUAAACCGAUCAGUUAGAAAAAGUAUCUACUUUAUUUAAUGUUAUAUAAUCCAAAUAAAUUAGUAUAAAAUAAGCCCCUAAUAGGAUUCUAGGGUUUUGAUUAGAGAAUUAAGAGAGAAUAGAUGAAGAAGUUAAAGAGAAGGGAGAAGAAUUAAUAGGAAUUAAAAUUAAUUUUAUUACUUGCGUCCUAAAAACAUAAUAAGAACCACUUACUUAUAGUAGUUCAAGACAAUCCUAAUUGUAAUUUAAUAAGGACUUUAAUUGAAAUAAGAAAAGCUAAUACUAAUAGGAAAGAAAUUAAAACAAGCAAUUAAAAUAAAAUAAACUAUUAGGGCCCUAACAGCCCCCAUGCAUCUGAUCACAACAAAUAUUCUUGAUGUAUCUGAUCACAACAAAUAUUCUUGUGAGGUCAAUUUUAUAGGGAAAGCAGCGUCUCCUUCAAGUUUCGGUAAAAGUUAUCAAUGCCGGACCAGCAGCAGGGAGAUAAGGACCAAGACCCUAACGGCCAAGACCGCAAUGGUAAAAACCCUAAUGGCCAAGGCCCUAAAGGAAAAAGGCCUAUAGAUCAUACUCGUGAUGCUUCACCACCUGUGCGGAAUCGGAUGAAUGCUGCUAAGGGUCCUGAGUUCGAUGAUAACUUUCCUCCUGGUUACAGGUUCAAGCCUCACGACAUAGAGCUUCUAGUUCAUUACUUGCGGAGGAAGAGAAUGAAUGAACCUUUGCCACCAAAUCGGAUUAAGGAAGUUCACUUGUACAAAUUUAAUCCUGAUACACUUUCAGGUUAAAAAUACCCACCACCCCAUUUCUCUUUUUUGUUUCUUUUGUUUUUUUGCAAUUGCCUUGCUGGUAUUUUUCUUUAAAUUAAGUAAUGCACUUACGCAUAUUAAGUUCUUUCUUUUUCUUGAGUUCAUUUGGUUAUUAAUUAGAGUGUAACUUCUUGAGUUUCUUGAAAUGGUUUAGUUUCUUGAGUUAGAAGUGUUUCCUUUGCGUUCGUUAUACAUAUAGUCUCAUAAUUUGAUUUGUUUUCGUACUUUGGUAAUGCUCUUAGCGCUUUUCUUGAGUUCAUUUGUAAUUGGAGUGGGCAUUUCUUGAGUUUCUUGAAAUAAAAUGGUCUGCUCUUCAGUUUCUUGAGUUAAAAGUUACUUCUUUGCGUUGUUGAAUGCUGAUUUAAUUUUCUACAUAUGGUCUCGUAGUUUGGUGCUUGUAUGUAUCCAAAACAAAGACUAUAAAUAUUUAUGUUGAUAUUAUUCCGUAUUCCAUAUAAUGGAAUCAGGAAGUGUAGAUCUUUUUUUUUUUUUUGGGUGAUUGAUACAAUGAUGAUUCUGUAUUAAUAAUGCACAGAAAAGUAUAAGCCGUUUGGUGAGAAUGAAUGGUACUUUUUUACUCCAAGAGAGAGAAAGUACAAAAACGGGACAAGACCCAAUAGAGCUGCUGGAGAUGGAUUCUGGAAGGCAACUGGAGCUGACAAACCUAUCAAAAACGACGACGUUGUCGUUGGAUUCAAGAAGGCAUUGGUCUUCUACAUGGGAAAACCCCCAAGGGGAGAUAAAACUGAAUGGAUAAUGCAUGAAUUUAGAUUGGAGGGUCCUCCAAGGACCAGAAUCAGUGGAGAUGACAUGAGGGUAACUAAAUUUUGUAGCUUCUUUCUGUGUCAUAUGUGAUGUGUUGCAGCAAUUUUACAAUGUUGGUUUGCUGAUGAGUUUUGCUUUUAUAUAUUAUGUUGAUUGCAGUUAGAUGAUUGGGUACUGUGUAAGAUAUAUAAGAAAAGGGACCAGGAUAGAUCUAAGCUGUCGUCUUCAAGACCUUCAACUUCGCAACGGGAUGAUUCAAUUUCAGGCCAAGAUGAUCCACAAUCAGACACUGAAUUUCAGGAUAAUGGAGCCAUUGAUAUGGGAGUUGAAGACUCUGCUACGCUGCCCAAUGAAACUUUCAUGCCUCACGGUCCUGAAGGUCCUCGAAUCAUUGAUAUGUCUGGUUUCUACAAUCAGGGAGGAUUUCUCAAUUCAUAUGAUGAUACUUUCAUUUAUCAUCAGAGCCACUUUGUUAAUCACAAUGUCCCAUAUUCUCAAGGCAGGGUUCCUGAAAUGCCUAAUUACUAUGUUCCAUAUGCUCAAGGCAGGGUCACUGGAAUGCCUAAUCACAAUGUUCCCUAUUCUCAAGGAAGGCUCCCUCGAUUGGCUAAUCACAAUGUUUCAGAUUCUCAAGGAAGGUUCCCUGGAAUGACAAAUCAAAAUGUUUCAGUUUCAGUUUCUCAGGGGAGGUUCCCUACAAUUGCUCCUUAUUCGUAUAACAAUUCUAUGGGGCAGAGCUCUCCAUGGACUCAACAUAUAAUGAUUCCGACUGCUAAUCAGAAUCCUAAUGAAGCUGCCGAAUCAUCAGCAGCAGCAAGGGGAAGACCUUUCCAGGCAUAUCCUCAUCAACAUAUGUUUGCUACUUCAAAUCGGAAUCCUAAUCAACCUGCAGAAAUAUCAUCAUCAGCAGCAGCAAGACCUUUCCAGACAUAUCCUCAUCAUCAUAUGUUUGCUACUUCUAAUCAAGUGGCAGAAUCAUCAUCAGCUGCAGCAGCAAGACCAUUUCAAGGUUUGGAGAGCGAUAUGAAAUUUGAACAGUUAAAUGAAUGUCCCCCGGAUGAUUUUUUGAAGGACCCUUCUGACGACAAUUGCUUUGAUCCGGAUUAUCAUAACUCCCGGAAAUUCUAACUCUGCCAUUUUUUUAUCCUUCGAUGAUCGAUGAUGACUGGCUUUGACAGAUUUGUUGAUUGAAAACGUAGUCAUAGUUACUACUAACUUUGUGCUUGACGUGAACAUUUCCAUAGAUUUUUCUCUAGGACGAUUAAUGGAUUAUUUUCUUAGAGGACUCUAUCUUCUAUUUUAGUUGUGGACCCAAUUUCUCUCACUUUGCAAGUGCCUCAUGUUGAUAGAUUUUAAAUUUGUCUUGAUUGCCAUGCAAAUUUUUAAAUAAGGUGGAUGUGGCUAUCCUUUUAUAAAUCACACUGAUUCAUAAAUAUUAUUCCCGCUUCCUAUGUCAUUAAAAGUAUAGAUUUUUGGUUUGUUAUAAUAUAUGACAUGGGGAACCCGGCUGAAACUUUUUUGGUUCAAUUACAAUGGUUACGCGUUGCCCAUUUGGUUACUUUAUAUUUUGUUGACAUAGGGUUACAAGCUUCUGGCAGCUGCUGUUUCUUCUGGAUAUAUAUAAUGCUAUUACAUUUUCCAUGGGGUAUGCCCUAUUUUUUCAGCCUUAAAAACUUUCAUGGUCUCCCUCGAUGUUUUCAGAAUCCUAAGAGGGAAGUGGGGAAAUCUAAUGCUACAAUAUAGUAAAUCCAAAACCAUUUCUCUUUGAUCUGGCAACUUCUGGGUGUCCACUAGAACAUACUAGAAAACAAAUUUUCAUGGAAGUGGCAUCGCAUUAUUUGUCGGUGGAUAUGCCAAAUGCUCAGGAGUAGGUGGAAAUAACCUAGGAAGCAAGUAGCAACUAUGCUCAUCUCUCCUGUAAAAUAAUGCCCGCAAGCAAUUUGACUGGCUUAAAGUUAUGACAAAGAUGCCCAUUUUCAAUGUGCACUUGUUUUUGCUAUCCAGCUGUUCAGUUCUCAACUCACCCCACCAACCAACUAUACAUUUCAAUAUUUGGCGAACAUUCGAUGCACUAACCAGCAGCUCCAAUAAAUAGCCUGGAACUCAGUAUUCUCAAGUGUGUCAAACUAAGUUGCAUAACGUUCCCGAAGUCAAUGCCUUGCUAUUCUUAUUCUUCUUAUCCAAUUUUCUUGUUCUCUUUUAUUGUCACAAGCUCUUUCAUUGUUGCAAAUGCUGGUAAUUUUAACAAAGAUGUUGAUAUUACAUGGGGUGAUGGACGUGCCAAGAUUCUCAACAAAGGCAAGCUUCUUACUCUGUCUCUCGACAAAGCAUCUGGCUCUGGCUUCCAGUCUAAGAAUGAAUUUUUCUAUGGAAAAUUUGAUAUGCAGCUCAAGCUUGUUCCCAACAACUCUGCUGGCACUGUCACUGCCUACUAUGUAAGCUCCUUAAUGAAAGAUUCUUUUUCCCUUUCACAUAUAAUUUGUUUGUCAGUCGUCACAUCAUUAUGUUGAUACGUAGACUUGCUAUGGUGCAGCUAAAAUCUCCAGGGGCAUCAUGGGAUGAAAUAGACUUCGAAUUCCUGGGGAAUUUGAGUGGCAACCCUUACAUUGUUCACACAAAUGUCUACACACAAGGAUAAGGUGACAGAGAGCAACAAUUCUACCUCUGGUUUGAUCCCACUGCCGAUUUUCACACUUAUUCAAUCCUCUGGAAUCCAGGUCACAUUGUGUUAGUACAUACACAACCCUGAUGUGAGCGAAAUUCGAAUCCUGGAUUUAAUUUUAUCAAGCUCGCAUUAACUUUUUAUUACAUUUUCUUUUUGUUCAGCUUCUAUAUCGAUGGCAGACCCAUCAGAGAAUUCAAGAAUCUCGAAUCAUUCGGCAUUCCGUAUCCCAAAAAACAAUCAAUGAGAAUGUAUGCUAGCCUGUGGAAUGCCGAUGACUGGGCUACAAGAGGGGGCCUGGCGAAAACAGACUGGUCUCAGGCUCCCUUCACUGCUUCCUUCGGAAACUUCAAUGCAAAAGCUUGUGUUUUGUCCAUCGGAAUAUCUUCUUGCAGCUCGAAUCCCGCAACUAAAAAUACAUGGUUUUCACAGGAGCUCGACUCUUCAAGCCAAAGGAAGCUAAAAUGGGUGCAGCAAAAUUACAUGGUUUACAAUUAUUGCGCAGACACAAGUUGGUUCCCUCAGUGCCUCCCCCAAGAAUGCACCAACAAAAAUUAGGACGAUGAAUCUUUUCUAAUCCAUUCAGUGUUUGGAAAUUCGUAUUUCAAUUAUAUUUUUAUUCUUUCUUCUACUUUUCUCAAUAGGGUUUCUUGAUUGCCAUCAAUCAUAUAACAUAAGAAUAUCGCUUCCCACUUGAUGCAUCUAAAUAAUAGUAAUAAAUGAUGUAGGAUGGUUUCAUCAAAAUUCAUUUUUCUUUUUAUUUUUUCAUUUUGGACUUCGGUUGGCAUCCUCAUCAUUAGAUAAUUAUUCUACAAAGUAAUAUAAUAUAUUAUUUACCCUUAUUAUAUAUGCCAAUUAUCAAGAAGAAAUGGGUAGGUAUUGAUAUUAAGGACUCAUCAGGUCCCUGCUAGGCCCAAAUGAAAUUAGUUCAAGAAUCAUGAACCUUGCAGGCCGAGCUCUAAUGGGCCAUUUAUGAUUUGCAUAAGUAUCCCAAACUUCUUCCAAAGAUAACUGCAAAAAAUUUAACAAAGUUGAUUGUUUUCCUCAAAUCGAACAAUAUUCAGAUUUUGUUCAGUGUUCAAUUACCCUAAGAAUUUUCUUUCCUAACUCAUGCAGAGCAAUCCAUAAUCUCAUUUCGCCAUGGCUUUUAUCCAAGUCACAUGUAGCCGCCCAUGCAUGGGGAGAUUGUAUAUUACAUUGAAAAUUUAUACCGUUAUGAUACUGCUCACAGGAAACAUGUCACCAAGUGUUAAGAAAGACGAGUUAUAUAAUACGUAAUUAACUAAUCACUGAACCCAAAGCAUGCGCCAACAAUGUCCUAAUUUGCCUCAACGACUUGUUUAUUAAGGCAAAGCCGGCCAGGGUCUUUUGAGAAAGCUUCAGCCAAGAUGCUGGAAGAGAGUGCUAGAGAGUGUUAAAGUGUAAUUUCCUUUACAAUAUGUUUGAACUGACACUUUGAAUGUCUUGAAAUUAAUACCAAUUUUUUUUGGGAUACUGCAUGUUAUAAUCAUUCUCAGGUGUGGACGCCGUAUUUUUUUUAAUACGGAUACACUUUUAUACUGUGUUGUUUAAAAGAUUUAGUUUUUAAAUGAACUGUAAAAUCGUAGGGCUUAAGUGAGUUAAAAGUUAAUUUUCUUAAAUUCUACGGUUUUAAAGUAUAUUCGCAUGAAAAUAAAAUAAGGAUGUCCACACUAUAAAAAGACUACUGCAUGUUAUAAGAAAGGUUAAAAAAAUUUUAUGAAUCAAUUUGUGGGUUGCAUGAACAGACUUCGUACUCAACUGUCAUUAUUCUUUGGACCUACAUUCUGGUUUCUCUCCUUUUUUUGUUUAAAUAAAGAAUCAAAUCUCUUUAUCUCGGCUUACUGUUGCAAGAAAAUUAAAAAGUACAAACCAAGAGAACGAAUACAAUACAACAUAAUCUGUUCCCCAACCCUCGAGGUAAUUAAUGGAAAGUGGGCAACAAUGUAUUUGACAGCAUUUCAAUAGAAGGAUGAUAUUCUGGUUUAUUUUCAAGGAUAGAUUGUGUUCGAGUAACAAUGUUUUAGAUGAUAUAUCACCAGCUGGCCUUUUGUAUCGUAGUCAUCUAAUGGACCCCCGUUCCUUGACCUGAUCCUGUUCACAAGUACGACAAUGACUAACCGACCGUCUGUCAAAUGCUUGAAAGAAUUUGACGCGGGAUUGAGCCCCAAGGACUGUGGUGGUGGAAUCGGCAGAAGCAAAAGUACAACCUAAACCCGUAUCUACAUAGAUAUGUGCGAGUACCGGAUAAUCAUGAUCGCAAUUCAAGAUCAAGUGGGUAUGCAUGCAGGCACCGAACCCCAUUUGGAAUUUGGGGCCAUGUCAUAUAAUCUGUCUGCAAAUGAGAAACAGCCAAAUUUGCCUCUCUUUCAAUUCAUGGCACAGCCAGCUGUUGACAACUUUGCACUCUCAGAAACGGCAAACAUGAAACAACCAUCCAAACGCACCCUCUUCUUCACUCUUCUUUUGUCCAUUUCUAUACUCCAAUCCCCUAUAUAAUAUUACAUUACAUCCAUGCAAAACUAGUAAUAAUUUAUGCACUAUUCAGUAUAGCGAGCUCCAGAUCCCAAAAUCCUGAAAGAUAUGGGUUCUGAUUCGUUUGGGGUGAUGAUGUGUACUUUUGUUGGGCGUUUAGCUGCUGUUUCUGCUGGUAAUUUCAAUGAGGAAUUUGAUAUCACAUGGGGAGAUGGUCAUGGGAAAAUAUUCAACAACGGCCAACUGCUUACUCUCAAUCUCGACCAUUACUCUGGCUCAGGCUUCCAGUCCAAGAAACAAUACUUAUUCGGCAAGAUUGAUAUGCAACUCAAGCUUGUCCCUCGCAACUCUGCUGGCACUGUCACUGCUUAUUAUGUACGCUUUUCUUUUUAUCAACACCUGCUGUUUUCAUUGAUUUCUUUGUAAUGAUGCUAAUUAAUAUUAAUUAUGAGAGUCUUUGAUGUUGUAGCUACGCUCACAAGGACCAACAUGGGAUGAGAUAGACUUUGUAUUCUUGGGAAACCUCAGUGGUCAUCCGUACACAGUUCACACAAAUGUGUACAGCCAAGGCAAGGGUGACAGAGAGCAGCAAUUUCAUCUCUGGUUUGACCCCACAGUCAACUUUCACACUUAUUCAGUUCUCUGGAAUCCUCAACGCAUUGUGUAAAGUCCAUUUCUCUCUUAUUAGUAUGUCAUUCGCUUCUACAAUUUUAUUGACUUGUGUUGUUCAAUUAAUUGCAUUAUUUCAGCUUCUCUGUUGAUGGUAUUCCAAUUAGAGAGUUCAGAAACCUGGAGGCUAUAGGCGUUCCAUUACCAAAGAAUCAGCCAAUGAGAAUAUACUCAUCUCUUUGGAAUGCUGAUGACUGGGCUACAAGAGGUGGGCUAAUCAAGACGGAUUGGAGCCAAGCUCCUUUCACUGCUUCUUACAGAAAUUUCAAGGUUGAUGGUAGCCGUGCCUGGCUCUUGCAACAAAUGGAUUCCACAAACCAACGGAGGCUUUACUGGGUGCGGAAGAAUCACAUGAUUUACAAUUACUGCACUGACACCAAGCGAUUUCCCCAGGGCUUUCCCAAAGAAUGCGCUGUCCAUUAAAGCUGGCUGUUCCAAAAACUUUAGCGCCUAGGUACAGGAGCUGUCUUGUAUAACAUAACAUUAAAUGAUAAAAUGUAAGCUAAUUAGUAGUGAGGGAUGCCUUUAGCACUAUCCGAAUUAGGUAGUCGGCUGGUUUUGUAUUUUGAAUAGCUAUUUAUUAACAUAAUAAUAAUAUUUAUUUUAAGAUUCUAAUUUUUUAAAGUUGCGUAUAUAUUGAAGGAAAAUUUAAUUUUUAGGAAUCUCCCUAUUAUUAUUCUCAUUCAUAAUUAUCUCUAUAUUUAAUAAUCUUUACUUUAAAAAUAAUUUUUUUUAUAAAAAUGUGAUAUUUAUGGUAUAAUAAUUAUUCUAAGCCUUUGAAACUUUAUUUGGUUAAUAAUUACAAGAAAAAAAUUCAACGUUUUCCCUUUCCCAAAAAUAACUACUCUAUUAAAAUUAUAAAUGUUAGAUUUUAAAACAUCUAGUAUUCUAUUCAUUCUAUUUCAAACUUCAAAACUAAUAGAUAUUGAAUCAAUGAUACUCACCCAAAAAAAAUUUCUCUCAUAUCUACUCGGAAUAUUAUUCUAAUCUUCCCUAUAAACUUCAUUGCCAGCAUCUAACAUUUGACUAUCAUAUUCAUCUCAACUAAUCAACCUUUUACGUGCUAUCGUUCUAAUUUUCUAUUUUAAUUUAUUAUUAUUAUUUUUUAAAUUUAUUAUAUUUUUUUAUUUGUUGCAUUAAUAUAUGACUUGAAUCAGUUAUGAAGUUUGUGAUUUGUAUAGCAUAAAUGUUGAUAAUUGACAAAUUUAACAAACAUGGUGAGCUUAGUUAAUGUUCUUUUAGAAAUAAAUAUAUAUCUUUUCAUUUAUUAUUAUUAUCUGCUGUACCGUACAUCUCUGGUUUGACCCCACAGUCAACUUUCACACUUAUUCAGUUCUCUGGAAUCCUCAACGCAUUGUGUAAAGUCCAUUUCUCUCUUAUUAGUAUGUCAUUCGCUUCUACAAUUUUAUUGACUUGUGUUGUUCAAUUAAUUGCAUUAUUUCAGCUUCUCUGUUGAUGGUAUUCCAAUUAGAGAGUUCAGAAACCUGGAGGCUAUAGGCGUUCCAUUACCAAAGAAUCAGCCAAUGAGAAUAUACUCAUCUCUUUGGAAUGCUGAUGACUGGGCUACAAGAGGUGGGCUAAUCAAGACGGAUUGGAGCCAAGCUCCUUUCACUGCUUCUUACAGAAAUUUCAAGGUUGAUGGUAGCCGUGCCUGGCUCUUGCAACAAAUGGAUUCCACAAACCAACGGAGGCUUUACUGGGUGCGGAAGAAUCACAUGAUUUACAAUUACUGCACUGACACCAAGCGAUUUCCCCAGGGCUUUCCCAAAGAAUGCGCUGUCCAUUAAAGCUGGCUGUUCCAAAAACUUUAGCGCCUAGGUACAGGAGCUGUCUUGUAUAACAUAACAUUAAAUGAUAAAAUGUAAGCUAAUUAGUAGUGAGGGAUGCCUUUAGCACUAUCCGAAUUAGGUAGUCGGCUGGUUUUGUAUUUUGAAUAGCUAUUUAUUAACAUAAUAAUAAUAUUUAUUUUAAGAUUCUAAUUUUUUAAAGUUGCGUAUAUAUUGAAGGAAAAUUUAAUUUUUAGGAAUCUCCCUAUUAUUAUUCUCAUUCAUAAUUAUCUCUAUAUUUAAUAAUCUUUACUUUAAAAAUAAUUUUUUUUAUAAAAAUGUGAUAUUUAUGGUAUAAUAAUUAUUCUAAGCCUUUGAAACUUUAUUUGGUUAAUAAUUACAAGAAAAAAAUUCAACGUUUUCCCUUUCCCAAAAAUAACUACUCUAUUAAAAUUAUAAAUGUUAGAUUUUAAAACAUCUAGUAUUCUAUUCAUUCUAUUUCAAACUUCAAAACUAAUAGAUAUUGAAUCAAUGAUACUCACCCAAAAAAAAUUUCUCUCAUAUCUACUCGGAAUAUUAUUCUAAUCUUCCCUAUAAACUUCAUUGCCAGCAUCUAACAUUUGACUAUCAUAUUCAUCUCAACUAAUCAACCUUUUACGUGCUAUCGUUCUAAUUUUCUAUUUUAAUUUAUUAUUAUUAUUUUUUAAAUUUAUUAUAUUUUUUUAUUUGUUGCAUUAAUAUAUGACUUGAAUCAGUUAUGAAGUUUGUGAUUUGUAUAGCAUAAAUGUUGAUAAUUGACAAAUUUAACAAACAUGGUGAGCUUAGUUAAUGUUCUUUUAGAAAUAAAUAUAUAUCUUUUCAUUUAUUAUUAUUAUUAUUAUUUGAUCUUUUUGGUAAUUGUUGAAAUUCACCAAAAAUGUAAAAUCUGGGGACGUCGGACGUCCAUACUGUAUGUUCUAUUUACAUCCAAGUCCCUUUAUGUUAUUAUUAUUAUUAUUUGAUUGAGAAAACCAAAGGUUGCAAUUAUUAGGUGUAUUAACCGUUCACGCCCCCAAUCAAGAAGAUGCUCAAUCCCAAAAUGCCAUAAAGCUUGGAUCCUAAAUUUGUGAACAUGCAUGAAUACUACAUGAAAGAAUCAAAGAUGAAUAUAAGAAUUAAAUAACUGGAUACAAUUGUGAUUGUAUUUGUUCUUGAUUUAUCUUUUUAUUGUCAUGUUACUGUUGGGUGUACUAUUUUAACAGGACAUUAAAAAAAAAAUCUCGGAGUGGGUGUCGGUGAAUUUUAAUCGUUUGCUUGCAAGAUGUUUGAUAAAAGUCCCAAAUGAGAGAAGUCGUUUUAAUGGCAAUAGAAUAUUUUGCUAGUCCUUACCCGUUAAGUCAGUCAAAAAUUUAGAGUACCAUUGCAUAUGUGAAGAGGUUUGGUCGUUUCUACGUUAAAACCUAGCCAAAGAAGAACAUAUAGCAAGCAUGCGAAGAGUAGAGAACAUAAUCUCAUGAUAUUUAUAUGCUAAAUUUUGUAUUACAUUGAGAAAGUUGGACUAAUUUGCCAUUUUAUUGACGACAAAAUACAACAAAGAAUCAAAGAAUUGACAAAAAGAAUAAAUUUUUUUGAUGUAUGUGUUGAUUUUGCAAAACUUCUAAGAGGUUCUGCAUUCUGCAGGGAGUCCCUGGGGAAAUCUCUUUGCAUCAGCGCAAUAAUUGUAAAUCAUGUAAUUCUUCUGCACCCAUUUCAGCCUUUCUUGACUUGUUGAAUCAAGCUCUUGUGAGAACCAGGCACUGCUGCUGGAUGGAGAGGAAGGUGAACUUGAAGCGCAAGAAGAUUUUCCAUUAGACCAGACACAGGCAUCAGCGUUGAAGUUUCUGUAGGAAGCCGUGAAGGGAGCAUGCGUCCAAUCUGUCUUGACAAGGCCACCUCUUGUAGCCCAGUCAUCAGCAUUCCAGAGAGAUGAGUAUAUUCUCAUUGGCUGAUUCUUUGGGAAUGCAACUCCAAUUGACUCUGAGUUCUUGAACUCUCUUAUGGGAGUACCAUCCACAGAGAAGCUGAAAAUUAAGUAAACAUUGAUAAGUCUAAGCAGAUUGAAUGACAAGGAAAGAAGAAAUGAUGGAGAUUGAAGGAAAAUAUUGCUUACACAAUGCGCUGAGGAUUCCAGAGGAUAGAAUAGGUGUGAAAGUCAGCAGUGGGGUCAAACCAGAGGUGAAAUUGUUGUUCUUUGUCACCUUUGCCAUUUGUGAAUACAUUGGUAUGCAGAGUGUAAGGGUCACCACUUAAAUUCCCCAAGAACUCGAAGUCUAUCUCAUCCCAUGUUGAUCCUGGCGAUUUUAACUGCGUGAACAAAAAGUCAAAGGUCUAUAUGUCAGAUACAUGAUGAUCAAACAUGCAUAUUGUUUAUUCAUAUAAAGGCAGGAACUUACAUAAUAAGCAGUGACAGUGCCGGCAGAGUUGCCAGGGACUAGUUUGAGUUGCAUAUCAAUCUUGCCGAAUAGAUACUCAUUCUUGGACUGGAAGCCGGAGCCAGAGGCUUUAUCAAGGGAAAGAGUAAGAAGCUGGCCGUUGUUGAGUAUAUUAGCACGCCCGUCUCCCCAAGUGAUAUCAAAAUCUUGGUGGAAGUUACCAGCAGAGGCAACCAUCAAAGAGCCAAGAAGCAGCAGCGACAGAUGCAAUACUGAAGCCAUGGAAGCUUUCGUCUGAGCAACAACAAGAUAGAAGAAUUUGAGUUGGAGAGAAGUUUGAAAUUUUUGAAAGUGAAGCGAUGAGUGUGUUUGGGAUCUCACCAGGGUUUGGUAUUUAUAGCUUGAUUGAGCUGGUGAAGGUGAGUAUAACGAAAGCAGAGGAAAGUAAUGGGAAGCUCCAGUUAGUUCAGCUUCAGCUGUGGCCAGUUGUUUGCGUAAAAUAGCGUGAUGAAAUAAAAACAGCUGUCCGAAUCGCACUAACAGAACACGCUACAACAGGGACUUUUUUUUUUAUUACAAUACGCGGCUUUGCAUUACUUUUGAGACUCAAGUACUUAUUAUGUACUGCUGUUCUGUUCCCACCACCGGCUGACUCUUAUUAGAUUUUUUUUUUUUUCCAACCACCGCCAGUCAAAACACAAAAAAGAAAAUGUAGAAUUCACUGGGUGCUCUUCUCUCUCGAGAUUUUUUUUUUCCAUUUUAUGCUCAAAAGAAAAAGAAAAAAAAUUGUUCAAUGACGUACUUAAUUAACAGAUUUUUUUUUAUAACUAUAUUUAUUAUCAGGAAAUCAUUUGGUUCAAAAGCUUAAGACGUUAAACAGGAGUCCAGAAAAUAGCAUUAAAGUGUUGAAAGACCUGCCCGUGUGAAACAUGGAUCCAGUUUGAAGGUCAUGUCGUUCCAAAAGCGGAGAUAGGAGAUUGAAUUAGAGGUUCUUGAACAUACAAGAAUUGAAACAUAUACGUGUGUUAUUCGCAAAAAAUUGAGCACGCUGAGAUUUGAACAAGAAACCUUUGCUAUGUAAAAACGAAAAUGGCUUGACCCAAGAAAAUUAAAGACAAGUCUUUACUGGAGUCCCUAACAUGAAACAUGGAUCUAACAUCUAAGAAAUAUGUAUCCCUAUAUUUCCGAUACAGAUGCUUCCUAGUAACAUGAAACUGUGAAUUUGUAUCCUAAUUUUAGGUUAAUUGAUAACACAUACUUCCUGGUGAUUUCCUGUGUAAUAAAACGCAUAUGGAAUUGGAAGAUAUGCUUAUUAUUAUUAUUAAGGAAUUUAUAGAUAUUGGUAUUUAAAUCGAACGGACUGAAGAUUUUGCUGUUUUGUAUACUACCACUUAUACUAGAGAAUGUUUUAUUUGUUUAACUGGAAAGGCGGUGGUGGCAUGGCGAGGUUGGCUCGCCUUGAAAUAUCAACACUCGAGAGCUGGCUCGCACCUUGUCCUCCUAUCAAUCUCUCAUUGUUAAUUAACAAGCACAUUCCUCAUCCAAUAACGGUAUGCAUCACUCUUCCUCAUCGACUUGUGUAAGUUCACUCGGUUAGUUUUUUUAAUUUUAUUUUUGCCAUUUUACCCUUUUACUGCCUUAUCAAAUACUAAUCAAUGGCCAAAAUUUCUCCUCGAUUGACACAAAUACGGUAACGCCCACGCGCAGUACAUUUUCUUCUCAUUCUGGUGGAGACUCAUUUGCUCUUUUAUCUUCAUGCUUCCUCGAUAAUUCUUCAUAUUCCAAUCUAGGGUCUAAAAGCUUUAUUAAUGAGUCAUCAUGUCAAUACCUUUAAUUAGGCUUAUAACUAUAUGCUAAAGCUUACGAAGAAUAACAACAAAGAAGAACAAAAUCUUUUGAAAUAGUAAUAUUAUGUUUACUUAGUUAGCAUACUUAAUUUGUAUACCACGCAAGUACGCAUAACAUUAUCCUUUUUUAAAUUCAUUAACCAGUGUUACAUAUGGUAAAAAUUGGACUAACAUGCCAUUUUAUUGAUUACAGAGAAACAAAGAAUCUGACUCCAGAAUCUACAUGAAUUGAAUAACCAUUGAAUGAUUACACGAAAGAAUAAAAUAAUUUUUAAGUGUCUUGUUGAUUAUUUUCUCUAGGAGAUUCUGCAUUCUGCAGGAAGGCCCUGAGGAAAUCUCUUUGUAUCAGUGCAGUAAUUGUAAAUCAUGUAAUUCUUCUGCACCCAUUUCAGCCUACUUUGAUUUGUUGAAUCUAGCUCUUGUGAGAACCAAGCACCGUUGCUGGAUGUAGA
Molecule: long non-coding RNA, 35047 nt
Filed under: Citrus sinensis (sweet orange)
Lineage: Eukaryota; Viridiplantae; Streptophyta; Magnoliopsida; Sapindales; Rutaceae
Description: long non-coding RNA (CSIN_LNC001578)
Source: RNAcentral